Molecule: ribosomal RNA, 460 nt
Filed under: uncultured bacterium
Lineage: Bacteria
Description: partial 16S ribosomal RNA
Rfam family: Bacterial small subunit ribosomal RNA
Source: RNAcentral
CCUACGGGAGGCAGCAGUGAGGAAUAUUGGUCAAUGGACGAGAGUCUGAACCAGCCAAGUAGCGUGAAGGAUGACUGCCCUAUGGGUUGUAAACUUCUUUUAUAUGGGAAUAAAACGUUCCACGUGUGGGAUUUUGUAUGUAACCUAUGAAUAAGGAUCGGCUAACUCCGUGCCAGCAGCCGCGGUAAUACGGAGGAUCCGAGCGUUAUCCGGAUUUAUUGGGUUUAAAGGGAGCGUAGGUGGAUUGUUAAGUCAGUUGUGAAAGUUUGCGGCUCAACCGUAAAAUUGCAGUUGAAACUGGCAGUCUUGAGUACAGUAGAGGUGGGCGGAAUUCGUGGUGUAGCGGUGAAAUGCUUAGAUAUCACGAAGAACUCCGAUUGCGAAGGCAGUUCACUGGACUGCAACUGACACUGAGGCUCGAAAGUGUGGGUAUCAAACAGGAUUAGAUACCCUUGUAGUC